GUACAUAUAGCUUGGUAGUAGAGUGCGUGCUUAACAUGCACAAGGUCCUGGGUUCAAUCCCCAGUACCUCCA
Molecule: transfer RNA, 72 nt
Filed under: Camelus ferus (Wild Bactrian camel)
Lineage: Eukaryota; Metazoa; Chordata; Mammalia; Artiodactyla; Camelidae
Rfam family: tRNA
About the family: Transfer RNA (tRNA) molecules are approximately 80 nucleotides in length. Their secondary structure includes four short double-helical elements and three loops (D, anti-codon, and T loops).
Source: Rfam by way of RNAcentral